CCUACGGUGUGCAGCAGUGGGGGAUAUUGGACAAUGGGGGGAACCCUGAUCCAGCGACGCCGCGUGAGUGAAGAAGUAUUUCGGUAUGUAAAGCUCUGUCAGCAGGGAAGAAAGAAAUGACGGUACCUGACCAAGAAGCCCCGGCUAACUACGUGCCAGCAGCCGCGGUAAUACGUAGGGGGCAAGCGUUAUCCGGAAUUACUGGGUGUAAAGGGAGCGUAGACGGUUAAGUAAGUCUGGAGUGAAAGGCCGGGGCCCAACCCCGGGACUGCUCUGGAAACGAUUGAACUGGAGAGCAGGGGAGGUAAGCGGAAGUCCUAGUGUAGCGGUGAAAUGCGGAGAUAUUAGGAGGAACACCAGUGGCGAAGGCAGCUUGCUGCAGCGGAACUGACGCUGAUGCUCGAAAGCGCGGGUAUCGAACAGGAUUAGAUACCCCAGUAGUC
RNAcentral lists this ribosomal RNA (443 nucleotides) under uncultured bacterium. Its description in RNAcentral is "partial 16S ribosomal RNA". It matches the Rfam family "Bacterial small subunit ribosomal RNA", at positions 338 to 795 of the family's 1533-position model. The record is from RNAcentral.